AUGCAUUGGUGGGCUUGGUGGAAAUUAUGUUUUCCUAAAGAAGAUGGAGGGAUGGGCUUUCGUGACCUCCACUCCUUCAACUUAGCAAUGUUGGCUAAGCAAUGUUGGCGCCUGCUUGAUGAUCCAGAUUCCUUAUGUGCCAGAGUUCUCCAUGCAAAAUACUACCCCUCCGGAGACUUACUAUCAGUAGGACUGAAAAAGGGGGCCUCGUUCACUUGGCAGAGCAUCUAUGCUGGUAUUCAAACUUUUAAGCGAGGACAUAUUUGGAGAAUUGGGAAUGGAGAGAAAGUGAAUAUUUGGGAUGACCCCUGGAUUCCCUCGAGCCCGUCAAGGAAAGUCAUUACCCCUAGAGCGGAUGUCUUGAUUACAAAGGUCAAUGAGCUAAUAGGUCCUAUUACUGAAAAGUGGGAUGAAGCACUCCUCCGUGAUAUUUUUAGCCCAACAGAUGUUGCACGCAUUCUCCAAAUUCCAUUAAGCUAUAACUCAUUUGUUGAUUUUGUAGCCUGGCAUGGUACACGAUCAGGACAUUUUUCUGUUAAAACAUACCAUUUGGAGUGGAAACAUCAAUUUCAGCAUACUGGAAUGCCGCGGGCUGGGCCAUCAUCGGAGAACCCAAUAUGGUCGAUUUUAUGGAAAAUGCAAACUCCAGGCAAGGUCAAAAUUUUCUGCUGGCGAGCGCUUCAUGGUAUCCUACCACUCAAGUCUAUACUUUCUAAUAGACAUGUUGGGAGUAUUGACCAAUGCCCAAUCUAUAUGCAAGGAGCUGAGGAUGUCAAUCACUUGCUAUUUCAGUGUGGCCGUGCUGUAGAGAUGUGGCGCUUACUCGGACUAUCGGAGCUUAUCUCAGAUGCAAAGUUGGUUGAUAGAUCAGGUUCAGCAGUGUUAGAACACUCGCUAUGUUUGCCUGACAAUAAUAUGCCUAAUUUACCUUCUGUUGGUCUUAAGGAGGGCAUUGUUGUAUCUUGCUGGUACAUGUGGUGGCUAAGAAGGCAGCAGACUCACCAGAAUCAACGUCCCCCAAGUAAGAGGAGCUCUUUAGCUAUACAAGCGAUCUACCUAAAUUUUCAGAGAGCAAAAACGUUCAGGAGCAAUAAAACAAGUUGGAAUAACAUGGAAGAAACUAGCUGA
RNAcentral lists this ribosomal RNA (1128 nucleotides) under Triticum aestivum (bread wheat). RNAcentral's name for it is "partial small subunit ribosomal RNA". The record is from RNAcentral. Lineage: Eukaryota; Viridiplantae; Streptophyta; Magnoliopsida; Poales; Poaceae.